Xiphophorus hellerii (green swordtail) is the source of this 335-nucleotide long non-coding RNA. RefSeq lists it as uncharacterized. The record is from RefSeq and is a predicted model, not a curated record. The transcript is spliced from 2 exons. Lineage: Eukaryota; Metazoa; Chordata; Actinopteri; Cyprinodontiformes; Poeciliidae.
CCUCUCCGAUGAGUCAUGUGACCAGCUGCUGUGAUCUGAAUGUUAAACUGCAAGACAUUUAGAUCAGCAGUGCAGCUCCAACUUGCAGCGCGUCUAUUUAUAGAUCACAUCUGGACGGUUUGAACAUCUGGCAGCAAACAGAAAGUUCCAGAACGACGGGAUCCGAUUUCUGAGGAGGAAACGGCUUCAGACGAACUGAUUCACUUAGACGAACCGGUUCACUUAGAUGAACCGAUUCUCUUACAGGUGCUGGUCAUAAAAUUAGAAUAUCAUGAAAAAGUUGAUUUAAAUGGUUCAUAAAAUAAAACGUGUAUAUUAUAUUCAUUCAUUACACA